Molecule: ribosomal RNA, 498 nt
Filed under: uncultured bacterium
Lineage: Bacteria
Description: partial 16S ribosomal RNA
Rfam family: Bacterial small subunit ribosomal RNA
Source: RNAcentral
AUUGAACGCUGGCGGCAUGCCUUACACAUGCAAGUCGAACGGUAACGCGGGGCAACCUGGCGACGAGUGGCGAACGGGUGAGUAAUGCAUCGGAACGUGCCCAGAAGUGGGGGAUAGCCCGGCGAAAGCCGGAUUAAUACCGCAUGAGACCUGAGGGUGAAAGCGGGGGAUCGCAAGACCUCGCGCUUUUGGAGCGGCCGAUGUCAGAUUAGCUAGUUGGUGGGGUAGAGGCCUACAAAGGCGACGAUCUGUAGACGGUCUGAGAGGACGACCAGCGAACCUGGGGCUGGGUCACUGCCCAGACUCCUACGUGAGGCCGCAGUGGUGAAUUUUGUACAAUGGGCUCAAGCUUGUUCCAGCCCUGCCGCGUGCGGGAAGAAGUACUUCGGGUUGUAAACGGCUUUGACCAUGGAAGAAACGCUCUGGGCUAAUACCCUGGGGUAAUGACGGUACCUGAAGAAGAAGCACCGGCUAACUACGUGCCAGCCGCCGCCGUAA